CCGCCGUCAAGGAGGUACACCUCGGGGUAGGUCAAGGCCGGAUAGUUAGCCUCGUUCUGGGCACGGUCUUGGGUCCUGAGGAAACGCAUCCUGGUAAGAGAAGAUUGUUGACAUACACACACCAUAUUAAUAACAGCUAGUAUCUAAUAAGCUUACAUUUUCGGGCCUCUCUCAGAAGAAAAUUCACAAUGGAAGAUGAGAAUGUUUCUCUUUCCUAUGACGUCACAACUCUGUAUCUCGUGAAGCAGCUGCUGUACCUGGUCACGCGUGUACUUGUUCUCCGCGUGCUGUAACAAAUAAAUAAAAUCGUUGAAAAAAUCA
Long non-coding RNA from Ylistrum balloti, 321 nucleotides. RefSeq lists it as uncharacterized. The record is from RefSeq and is a predicted model, not a curated record. NCBI's taxonomy places the organism in Eukaryota, Metazoa, Mollusca, Bivalvia, Pectinida, Pectinidae. The transcript is spliced from 2 exons.